RNAcentral lists this small RNA (98 nucleotides) under Arabidopsis thaliana (thale cress). Its description in RNAcentral is "ATSL279910". The record is from RNAcentral. Lineage: Eukaryota; Viridiplantae; Streptophyta; Magnoliopsida; Brassicales; Brassicaceae.
UUUAAUUAUACAUGUAAAGAUCUGAUCGAUAGAUUUGACACGUGUCACGAUCUUAUGAGUUACUAACUUUGAAAUCAUACUUUAUAUAAUAAGAUAUA